This is a long non-coding RNA of Gossypium raimondii (Peruvian cotton), 1086 nucleotides long. RefSeq lists it as uncharacterized. Lineage: Eukaryota; Viridiplantae; Streptophyta; Magnoliopsida; Malvales; Malvaceae. The record is from RefSeq and is a predicted model, not a curated record. The transcript is spliced from 4 exons.
CCUGGCUGCUAUCUAUUGCAUUAUAGGCGUACCAGGAGCUUAUUUACUAUGGUAUCGUCCACUUUAUCGAGCUUGCAAGUACUAAUUAACUUGUGACAACUCAUAAUUAACUUUAUUUGUUCAAGUUAAUUUUAUUUUUUAGUGAGGUAUUUGAGACAACUCAAGGUGGAAAUUUUCCUCAUUUUUUGAUGGGCCAUAGAAGAUAUUUGUUUGGAGGACACUCUAAGACAAUUCGACCCGACAAGCAAAUAUUUCGUUCAUUUAAUUAGCACAUUUCGUUCAAAUCGAAUCAAAACCAGCAAAUAUUACCCUUUGCAUGUGUCCACUGCAUGUGAGAGGCAGGACACGUUGUAACCUGUACUACCACCUCGCCCUACGUGUCUACCUCACAACUCAAAUAGAAUAAAAUUCAGCCUAUACAACUGCAUGGGAGCACUUAUGACUAAAAAGAAAUGCAUGACUCGGCCUAUAGCUUGACUUUAGGCUAAGCCUUUCUCUAGAAUCCUGGGAACCUUAGAACCUUGGGAGAGAUUCCCUACUGCCUUAGGAAAUCAAACAGCUAUCCCUGCUUGAGAAACAUAAUGAGGGAUGAUCAUCCAGAAAGUGUUUUAUCAGCUAUGCAAACAAUCAUGAUUGUGGUGUUAGAAGAGAGUGAAGAUGUUUGAGAUGAUCUUUUACUUGUUAUAUUGUCUGCAUUAGGUCGUAAUAAAAGUGCUGAUCAAUUAGACAUUCGUUUGAGAGCUGUGAGAUUGGUUGGAUCCCUUUUUGCUCUGCCUGGUGCUAAUAUAUGUGAAGCAUUUCAGCCAAUAUUUUCAGAAUUAUUGAAGAGGUUGACUGAUAAAGUUGUCGAUGCUAGAAUGCCUGUCCUCGAACAUGUUAAGAUCUGUCUGUUGUCAGAUCCCUCUAGACCUGAGGCUCCUCAAAUAAUCUCUACCCUAUGUGAUCAGCUUUUAGACUAUGAUGAAAAUGUUCGAAAGCAAGUUGUGGAUGUAAUUUGUGAUAUUGCUUGUCAUUCUCUUGUUUUGAUUCCCGUUCAGGCUGUAAAACUAGUUGUAGAUCAUUAAUUCAUGAUUGAUUUUUACUUUC